GACGAACGCUGGCGGCGUGCCUAAUACAUGCAAGUUGAGCGCUGAAGGUUGGUACUUGUACCAACUGGAUGAGCAGCGAACGGGUGAGUAACGCGUGGGGAAUCUGCCUUUGAGCGGGGGACAACAUUUGGAAACGAAUGCUAAUACCGCAUAAAAACUUUAAACACAAGUUUUAAGUUUGAAAGAUGCAAUUGCAUCACUCAAAGAUGAUCCCGCGUUGUAUUAGCUAGUUGGUGAGGUAAAGGCUCACCAAGGCGAUGAUACAUAGCCGACCUGAGAGGGAGAUCCGCCAACAUGGGAACGAGACACGGCCCAAGCCUCUUAGGGAAGGAGCAAGAGGGGAACUUCGGAAAUGGACGAAAGUCUGACCGAACAACGCCGCGUGGGAGAAGAAGGUUUUCGGAUCGGAAAACUCUGUUGGUAGGGAAGAAAGUUGGUGAGAGUGGAAAGCUCAUCAAGUGACGGUAACUACACAGAAAGGGACGGCUAACUACGUG
Molecule: ribosomal RNA, 497 nt
Filed under: uncultured bacterium
Lineage: Bacteria
Description: partial 16S ribosomal RNA
Rfam family: Bacterial small subunit ribosomal RNA
Source: RNAcentral